RNAcentral lists this ribosomal RNA (282 nucleotides) under uncultured prokaryote. Its description in RNAcentral is "partial 16S ribosomal RNA". It matches the Rfam family "Bacterial small subunit ribosomal RNA", at positions 524 to 803 of the family's 1533-position model. The record is from RNAcentral.
UACGGAGGAUCCGAGCGUUAUCCGGAUUUAUUGGGUUUAAAGGGUGCGCAGGCGGGAGAUUAAGUCGGCGGUGAAAUUUUGCAGCUCAACUGUAAAAGUGCCUUCGAAACUGGUUUCCUUGAGUGUAGAUGAAGUAGGCGGAAUUUGUAGUGUAGCGGUGAAAUGCAUAGAUAUUACAAGGAACUCCGAUUGCGAAGGCAGCUUACUAAAUUACAACUGACGCUUAGGCACGAAGGCGUGGGUAUCAAACAGGAUUAGAUACCCGGGUAGUCCCUGAGCGGG